ACUACGGGAGUGAUAGGAACUUGAAAAAAUGACAGUUGCAUACUUGCGUGUAAUUUGCUCGGAACAAUUUGCAAUCAACAUUGCAAGAUUGAUUGCAAUGUUGCAAUACUCAUGGGAACAGAACAUCCGGUUUGACUGUAAGAGUUAUAUCAGUCCAAGACUGCUAUAGAAGAAGAUUUUAUCAAAAUAAAGUCAGGAUAAAGUCUAUUAAUACCACGAUUACUAAUGAUUACUACUCUUGAAAGCUUUUCGAAAGACGCCAUCUUGUUUUAAAGCUGUUCUAGCCUGCGAACAGGCCUUCAAAACAAGGUUGACGGACUUAACAACUUAACUUAACUUACUUAACUUUACUUUACUUUACUUUACUUUACUUUACUUUACUUUACUUUACU
Non-coding RNA from Paramuricea clavata, 392 nucleotides. The record is from the annotation of a GenBank genome assembly. Lineage: Eukaryota; Metazoa; Cnidaria; Anthozoa; Malacalcyonacea; Plexauridae.